This 408-nucleotide ribosomal RNA is filed under the name uncultured bacterium. RNAcentral describes it as "partial 16S ribosomal RNA". It matches the Rfam family "Bacterial small subunit ribosomal RNA", at positions 29 to 526 of the family's 1533-position model. The record is from RNAcentral.
AGUGAACGCUGGCGGCGUGCCUAAUACAUGCAAGUCGAACGGGCGGGCGCACGGGUGAGUAAUAUAUAGCUAAUCAGCACCUGGGUGGAGGUCAACAGAUAGAAAUGAAUGCUAAUACACCAUAGGGAGGGAUGAGACUCUAUCGUAUCAGCUAGUCGGUGGGGUAACGGCCUACCGAGGCUAUGACGCGUAACUGGUCUGAGAGGAUGAUCAGUCACAUUGGAACUGAGGCACGGUCCAGACUCCUACGGGAAGGAGCAGUAGCGAAUAUUGCGCAACGGGCGAAACCCUGACGGAGCUUCGCCGCGUAGAGGAUGACACUUUGCGGAGCGUAGACUCCGUUUGUUAGGGAAGCGGUACCUAACGAAUAAGCACCGGCUAACUCCGUGCCAGCAGCCGCGGUAAUAC